CAGCACCUCAAGUGGUCAGGAUGAUUAUUGGGCCUAAAGCAUCCGUAGCCGGCGCUGUAAGUUUUCGGUUAAAUCUGUACGCUCAACGUACAGGCUGCCGGGAAUACUGCAGCGCUAGGGAGUGGGAGAGGUAGACGGUACUCGGUAGGAAGGGGUAAAAUCCUUUGAUCUAUUGAUGACCACCUGUGGCGAAGGCGGUCUACCAGAACACGUCCGACGGUGAGGGAUGAAAGCUGGGGGAGCAAAACGGAUUAGAGACCCGAGUAGUCC
This 270-nucleotide ribosomal RNA is filed under the name uncultured archaeon. Its description in RNAcentral is "partial 16S ribosomal RNA". It matches the Rfam family "Archaeal small subunit ribosomal RNA", at positions 477 to 747 of the family's 1478-position model. The record is from RNAcentral.